UGGGGAAUCUUGGACAAUGGGCGCAAGCCUGAUCCAGCCAUGCCGCGUGGAUGAUGAAGGCCUUAGGGUUGUAAAAUCCUUUCGCCGAGGACGAUAAUGACGGUACUCGGAGAAGAAGCUCCGGCUAACUUCGUGCCAGCAGCCGCGGUAAUACGAAGGGGGCUAGCGUUGUUCGGAUUUACUGGGCGUAAAGCGCGUGUAGGCGGGUCGUUAAGUUGGGGGUGAAAUCCCGAGGCUCAACCUCGGAACUGCCUUCAAAACUGGCGACCUGGACCUAAGUAGAGGCAAGUGGAAUUGCGAGUGUAGAGGUGAAAUUCGUAGAUAUUCGCAGGAACACCAGUGGCGAAGGCGACUUGCUGGACUUAUGGUGACGCUGAGACGCGAAAGCGUGGGGAGCAAACAGGAUUAGAUACCCACGUAGUCCCUGAGCGGGCUGGCAAGGCGCAU
RNAcentral lists this ribosomal RNA (447 nucleotides) under uncultured bacterium. Its description in RNAcentral is "bacterial SSU rRNA". It matches the Rfam family "Bacterial small subunit ribosomal RNA", at positions 355 to 825 of the family's 1533-position model. The record is from RNAcentral.